CCCACGUUGUCACAAGGGACAUGUAUCUUAGUUUCCAAACUUUACCUAGGGGUAUCUGUUUUGGUUACCUUCUAGAAAAGAGGUUUUUUUUUUUUCCUGGGUACUACCAGAGCCAAAUGCAUAACAGUUAAAUAUUCUGACCCUGGGUGAACGCCAGAGACACCCAGGGAUGUCUCCCCUCCCUCUCCCAUCAGCCUCUCUGCCAUAGAUACUACCUGCUUCAUCUUCCAGUGCAGUGCCCACAGUGCGUUCAGAGCUGGGGUCUUUCCUUCCUGGCUCCAUCCAUCCUGACCAGAGCUUUUGGCCCUAUGCUCAACCUUGAAUCCCUGAAGAUGGAACCAAGGCUUUUCUGAGAGCUGCUGCUCCGUUCCUCCUGGCUAGAAGAGCCUAGGCAUCGAAGGAGACCAGAUAAAAGCAGCCUGGUCUCUUGAUCUGGGUCAUUGUUCAAAACCCCAUGAAAAGAGAAGUGAGACCAAGCAAGGCCAGGAAGCUAAAUAAGAGGACCACUGAGCAAGCACCCUGGCAACCAUGUCUUUGGUCUCCAGAAAGCAGCUUCUCUUUUCGUCCACUCCCUGACCUCUGUGCCAUCCAGUUGGGCCCUACUGACAGAGGAGGGUUCACUGUGGAUUCUGCCCCUUUUCCUGCUAGAGUUUGAUGCUCUCUUGGUUAGGGCAAAACCAGGGCUAGCUUGGGGUGUCAGACACCAAGUCAGGUUGUUUCUAACCUUUCAAUAUUGUAGACUCUUCCACAGAUGAAAAUCGACCUGCCAAGCCUUUUCUUUUUUAAAAAACGUGUGUUUCUGUUCUCUGUGUAGCCCUAUUUUUGAAGAGGACACACCCUCUGUUAUGGAAAUAGAGAUGGAAGAGCUUGAUAAAUGGAUGAACAGCAUGAACAGAAAUGCAGACUAUGAGUGUUUACCUACUUUGAAGGAAGAGAAGGAGCCAAACCUCAGCCCAAGUGACAAUGAAUCCUAAGUCCAAGCGGCGUUGAUGUUUUCCAAGAGCGUACUUCCUGAGGGCACCUGCCAGCCCGCCAGGGGAGGAUGAAGAGGAGACAAGUUUAAUUAAUUUCAAAUCAGUGUGGACACAAGAACCUUUUAGUGUUUCUUCCACCAUCCCCUCUUCGGACAAUGGCUUCCCCUGGACUUGGAAGAAUGAGGGACUGAAGUCUGGGAAAGGCCUGGCUGCCCGCCAGCCCACUCAUGGUGAAGGAGCCCCAUGUGGUGCUGGCUUUAGAUUAGUGGGUGUCCCUCCCCACUGCCUCCUCCUCCUCCCUCAUUCUGGUCACCCUAAGAUCACAGCACCGGCCUGCUUUAUUCCCAGGGUUGGAAUCAGAAAGCUGGUCUUCUUCUGGGUCACCUUACUGCCCAAUAGGUUUGGAUAAUAUUCAUGGCUUCUCAGGUUAACUCUAGUCGUCUGGAACUUUCCUCAAGGAAAACACGACAAGCAAAGUGGGGUGUUUCAUAGCCACAUCAUCUCGGGGAGUCGUUAAGCUUAUUCCUCCCCUGCUAAGAAAACACAGCAAGAAAGUACACAGUCCUCGUGGGAGCCAUAUCUCAGUCACUUUUUGAAAACUUCACGGAAGAAUUAGCCAUCUUUAAAGAGAGAAGCAACUUUUUCCGUCUCUGCUCAAAUCACCUCUACUUGCAAUAUCUCAAAAGUCCUGAUCUUGUUUCAAAGCCACAGGCCUGGCCUGUGCCAGGCGGGCUUGGAAUGCAUGCAGGUUGGGGUCAUCUGUCGCCCUUCUGAAUCUUGGAACUCUUCAAGGCUGAGCAAGCAAGAUUUGUACCCACGACUGCUCUGGCUCACUGUGCUGUGUGGUCUCUUCGGACUUUGCCUACAACCUUUCCUGUAGGCUGGGAAGAGCCUCCAGCCCUCAGCACUCCAGGGGGUGGCUCUCAGGCCAUCAAAAGUGACAUUCUACAUGAAGUUAGUUGACAUCCAUGUACUAAAAACAAUGGAGUAAAAAAUGCAGAAAACCCACUAACCUCUCCUCUAUGAUAAAGCCAGUCCAUUUAGUCCUUCCUUUUUCUAAUUUUGACCUUUAAACAGCCGUCUAGCAAAUUGAGUCUCUGGUUCUCCUGGGAUGCUUGGUAUUUUAUUCCAGGAAAGAAACAAAGAAUGAAAAUUUUAUUUUGCUAACCACACAGAAACUUGAGGGGAGAUGAGGUUAACCAAACUUUUUGCUGCUGAAUUGGGGUUCUGUGUUUGAAAGGCUGCCCUCACGCUCCACAGAGAGCCUUCUCCUGCCCCCUUGGGGCCCCUUUAACGAGCUCUUGCCUUCUGAGAUAUGCAGAUAAUUUUAUGGGCAGAGCCGCAGGCCAGGGUGGUCUCUCUAUACAGUCAACAACCUGAAUCCCAGCUUUCCUACUAUCCUGGGACCCUGCAGUUCUCAGACAAAAGGCAGUGCUCGACAGUGCAUCCUCAACAGAUUCGUUGUCCUGUCUCAGUGUUCUCACUCUGACAGGACUCCGAGGCAUUGCCCUGUGGGCACUCACAAUCAAUUUAUACCCUGCCCUGAUUCUCAGACAGUCACCCUGCAGGUGGCGGAUGCAGCCUUCUGAGUCAUCACUCAUCUACUCUGCCCGUGACGGCUACUUUAAAUUGGUUUCUCCAUCUCUGAAAAGUCUAGUUCCUUCUUUCUUGGGGGUGUCUAAGAUCGUCGAUGACCUCCAGGCCUUCGACCUUAAUCUGUCCCUGUCCAAUAUCAGGCUUCAGAAUUUCUCAGAAGUGUAUGAAGUGUUGGACUGUUGCUUUUGAUAGAGGCGUGUCUCAUGAGAUGAUAGCACGAUUCUCAUUCAGUAUGUCAAAUAACCUCAAACUCCUGAAGAAACUAGCAUGCUCUUGAGUUUGCCUCUGAGAUCUGUGUUGACUUUUCUAGCUUCAUAGGAGCUCUGUUGUUCUGGCAAGACUCGUGACAUUAGCAUGGGCCAAGCAGUCAAAUCAAGCCUGUGAUCCUGAUUAUUUACUAUAUAAUCAGAGCAUCAUAUGUGUGUAUGACAAUCCAUAAGUUCUUAAUACAAAAAAUAUUUAUUUUUUUACAUUAUUAGUAGGAGAAAAGAAAACCCUCAUCAAUUUGCCUUAGCUAAUCAGAGCAAUCAGAUUUUAUAAUAAAGAUGGAAUUUAUCUCUGUUCAUGGGUUGUUUGCCUAGCAUGGCGAAAGCUCUGGUUGCAGGAAUAUCAUUCCCACAAGCCCAUUCACAGAUGCAUAGUGAGUUUGAGGUCAGCCUGGAAUAUGUAAGACUAUGACUCAAAAACAAAUUUUUUUUAAGAUACAUGCUUUGGUGUAUUUUUUUUUAAAGCUAAGUAGGUUGAUAGCAUUGCUUAGCUGAACUUCUUCAGAAACUUGUUUCAAUAAAUGUUUUUAAAAAUCCA
Molecule: long non-coding RNA, 3374 nt
Organism: Mastomys coucha (southern multimammate mouse)
Lineage: Eukaryota; Metazoa; Chordata; Mammalia; Rodentia; Muridae
Exons: 3
Source: RefSeq, a predicted model, not a curated record